Molecule: transfer RNA, 69 nt
Filed under: Sphaerodactylus townsendi
Lineage: Eukaryota; Metazoa; Chordata; Lepidosauria; Squamata; Sphaerodactylidae
Description: tRNA-Ala
Source: RNAcentral
GCUGUGGCUCACUGGAAGAGCAUCUGCUCAGCAUGCAGGAGGCCCCAGGUUCAAUCCCAAGCAUAUGCA